RNAcentral lists this ribosomal RNA (400 nucleotides) under uncultured bacterium. RNAcentral describes it as "bacterial SSU rRNA". It matches the Rfam family "Bacterial small subunit ribosomal RNA", at positions 355 to 747 of the family's 1533-position model. The record is from RNAcentral.
UGGGGAAUAUUGGACAAUGGGGGAAACCCUGAUCCAGCAAUGCCGCGUGUGUGAAGAAGGCCUUCGGGUUGUAAAGCACUUUCAGUGGGGAGGAAGGGGCAAGUGCUAAUAUCAUUUGUCAUUGACGUUACCCACAGAAGAAGCACCGGCUAACUCUGUGCCAGCAGCCGCGGUAAUACAGAGGGUGCAAGCGUUAAUCGGAAUUACUGGGCGUAAAGAGUGCGUAGGUGGUUAGGUAAGUUAGAUGUGAAAUCCCUGGGCUCAACCUAGGAACUGCGUUUAAAACUGCUUAGCUAGAGUAUUGUAGAGGAUAGUGGAAUUUCCAGUGUAGCGGUGAAAUGCGUAGAUAUUGGAAGGAACACCAGUGGCGAAGGCGACUAUCUGGGCAAAUACUGACACU